ACUCCUACGGGAGGCAGCAGUAGGGAAUCUUCCACAAUGGGCGCAAGCCUGAUGGAGCAACACCGCGUGAGUGAAGAAGGGUUUCGGCUCGUAAAGCUCUGUUGUUAAAGAAGAACACGUAUGAGAGUAACUGUUCAUACGUUGACGGUAUUUAACCAGAAAGUCACGGCUAACUACGUGCCAGCAGCCGCGGUAAUACGUAGGUGGCAAGCGUUAUCCGGAUUUAUUGGGCGUAAAGAGAGUGCAGGCGGUUUUCUAAGUCUGAUGUGAAAGCCUUCGGCUUAACCGGAGAAGUGCAUCGGAAACUGGAUAACUUGAGUGCAGAAGAGGUAGUGGAACUCCAUGUGUAGCGGUGGAAUGCGUAGAUAUAUGGAAGAACACCAGUGGCGAAGGCGGCUACCUGGUCUGCAACUGACGCUGAGACUCGAAAGCAUGGGUAGCGAACAGGAUUAGAUACCCCU
Molecule: ribosomal RNA, 461 nt
Filed under: uncultured bacterium
Lineage: Bacteria
Description: bacterial SSU rRNA
Rfam family: Bacterial small subunit ribosomal RNA
Source: RNAcentral